ACACACAAAAAAGCAAAGUAAAUCAUUUUUGCACCAGCAGAGGUCAGCAUUUAGUUUUGAACAGAUUCAAAGCAUCAAAACCAACCAAAGAUUGUAUUUUGGCGAGGCAAUUUUCUUUUCUCAUGUAUUAAUCACAUAUUUAAUCAUAUCACAUUACUUAUAGUAAUAUCACUUUCUCACGUAUGCAGGUGGAAUAAUUACAGUGAGGCCAUUAUAAUGGGAGACGUUAAACAGAAAGUGAGACUCCUUCUCCUUAUUAGGGAUGUAAAUCCUUAGGUGACGGCCAACCAGAAAACAAGGUCAUAACUCUCUGUGAGGGCGGAGGUAUAGCCUCCCAUGAGAGGGGCUAACACGUAAGAGUUUGUGGAAUGUUUUUUGUCUGUGUCUCUGUAUGUGUGAUUUAAGGGCGGUGGCCACAAUUCAGAGAUGGACCUAGUGUUUCACUGGGAUGGUCUCUCCACAUAACAAUGUGUUUAUUAAACCCACUUCAAAUCAAGCUCACUGGGUGUGUUGCAGGUUAUUGUUAAAUUUUCCAGAAAAAUUUGAUGAUGUCGAGCAGGAUUCCUCAGGUGAGUUUCGCUGAAUAACAGGCAUGCGGUGACUGGCUAUCCUGAGGUAAAAUUGCCUCAGUCCCACCGUUCCUUUGUUUUUAAAAAGGGGGAACCACGGGGUGUGCUUCAGUGACUCAUGCAUGCAGGAAUUUUUAAAAGAACCAAGAGAGGCACUGCAAAGGAUCUGCAACGGUGAGCUGUUUUGAUUUGGGAGGAUUUUCAAUCGGGAAACAGGGAAAGCCUCGCUUCCUUACUGCUGCAAUUAUUGGGUGCAGGUUCCUAGAAACUCAGUUUGGGUAUUCUAGUGGGUAUUCUUGUUGCAGCAGUAAGUGCAGGAUCUUAGAAGCUCAACAAGUUGAGCAUUCUAGUGUAUGUUUUUUUAGCAAUUUUGCAGCAGCGAAAAAACGCAGAAUGGCCAGACAGCGGACGCGCUUGUUUGUACAAUGGAAGCUGGACCCAGCAAAUGGGGGCGUCCCUACAGGUGGUCUGGGUGAAAACCCAAUUUUUAUUUUUUUAUUUUAUUUUAUUUUAAUUAUUUGGCCAUAGAGUUUGGUCUGGUUAAAAACUCCAAGUGUGUGGAAGAUGGUUAUGUGAAAGAAAGAUGUCGACAGAGAAAAGGGUUUUUGGUUUUUUUUGGGACGGACCAUUUGGAGGAAUACGACGCCUGAUUUCAGGACUGUCGUGGGAAGCGCUCCAUCCUUAGUUUACGAUGUUUAGCACUUUUGCACCAGAAGGAAAAGGCCGGACGGUGAACGCGCUUGUCCGCAAAGCUGAGCUCAGCAGUACGGCCAGUGAUACCAUAGGAGGCAUCCCUCUGGGUGGUCCGGGCAAAUCCCAGUUUUGAUUGUAUGAUUUUUUUUUUCCUUCCAGAAAUAUGGGAAAGAAUACACAGAGUAUGAAGUGUGUAGAAACUGAGGAAUGCAGUAAAGAAAAGUGUGCGUGUGCAUGUAAGAAGUGCUGUGGGUGUGUAUAACAAGAAAGAGAUGUGUUAAAAUGCAGAUAGAAGAAUAAGAGAGGGAAAGUGUUAUUGAGCAGUGAUGAAAAUGAUAUUAAAUAAGUGUCUCAGUGUGUUAGUACAGGUGACUACGGACCUGGAUCAACCUCCUCCACGAGCACAGCAGCGGGAGCAAAAUGAUAGAUUAACAUUAUUGGAACCACACCCACGCCGUGUUUUGGCUGAAAAUUUCACAGCUUCACCUUCAUGUACAUCUUAACCUGAAGAACAAGCUUCGAGGACAAUCAAUCUCUCCCUGAAGACAAAAUGCAGUUCAAGAGCAACGGCGUCGACUUCAAGAGUCAACAAGAACAAAUAUAAGGUGAGCUUCUCUAGAUAACAAUGGGCUUUGGAGGAAAUUCACCUACCUAGGAUGCUGACCAUAUUAGAUGCUAUAUGUGGAAGGAAACCAUGACCUAGGAC
Oreochromis niloticus (Nile tilapia) is the source of this 1968-nucleotide long non-coding RNA. RefSeq lists it as uncharacterized. The transcript has 3 exons. The record is from RefSeq and is a predicted model, not a curated record. Lineage: Eukaryota; Metazoa; Chordata; Actinopteri; Cichliformes; Cichlidae.